CGUGUUUUCUGUGCAUACCAGCCUUCGUACUGCGUCCGUUCAGACGCUUUGACAUCGCCCGGACCCCCGAGAGUACCUGGCUGUUGGUACGUACCGUAAGUCACGUGACUUUAAUAGCGGAAUUGGGUCUGUUCUUGUCCUCGUGAGGCAGCCGGUGGAUACGCCGCAUUGAGCAGGUUGGCGCGUCGGCACAUAUGUCUACCCCGGGGCGGAUCUGCCUUCAAGUCAGCCGAUCCGCCCCACCCUGUGACUUACUUCUUGCUCUCCGGACGGGGCCCGCCCCACCUACUGACAGCGGAUUAUCAAAACGCGGCUCCGCCACGGCUCCACGACCUUCAGCAAACUCGCGCCUUUCCCCGCACCCCUCUUUUUUCUCUUUCAGAAGUUAAUGGCUGCUGGCAUUGGGAGCGCAGGAGCAGAGCUUCUCUAAGAUCAAUUCAGCCUGCCUUUCCCCCUCCACCUUGUCUGCUACCUCACUGAAACGCACGUGGACCGUUGGGAUCUUGAACUCUUUACAAUCCCACACUGCUGCAGAGGAGCCACUGGAGACCGAAACUGGGACCUGACAGGGCAGCAGGACAGACUCCUUCCAGUCAUACACCUCCACCCCUGAGGCAUGCUGGGAAACUGAGGAGAGAAACAUUAAAAAGGAGGAUCACUAACAGCAGCCUCAGCUUCAUCAUCCUCCUCGUCCUCAGAGUCCAGAUAAAGAGUGGCUGAAGGAGCUGGUCCUCCUCCCAGCUGAUCCUCUGCACAGGCAGAGACCUUCAAAAUAAAAGCUGCUCUGUGGCAGUCACUUCCUGCUCAUGUGUUUCAGCCUGAGAGCUUCAUGAGCAGCUUUAAAACACACGCUGGUCACUGAGGAAACAGAGUCACUGCAACAGGAUCUCAGCCACCCGUGGAAGCGUCACACACUGCUAGAUGUAAUAAAUGAGGCUCAGUGGA
Molecule: long non-coding RNA, 945 nt
Organism: Archocentrus centrarchus (flier cichlid)
Lineage: Eukaryota; Metazoa; Chordata; Actinopteri; Cichliformes; Cichlidae
Exons: 4
Source: RefSeq, a predicted model, not a curated record